This 488-nucleotide long non-coding RNA is filed under the name Sorghum bicolor (sorghum). Its description in RNAcentral is "long non-coding RNA (SBIC_LNC008054)". Lineage: Eukaryota; Viridiplantae; Streptophyta; Magnoliopsida; Poales; Poaceae. The record is from RNAcentral.
GGCCCCAUCUACCCCUUCCUCUAGACUGGCUCAACUCGCUAGGCCACAGCCCACUAAGCCACCCAACAACUCUCCCCUGUCCCAUUCUCUGUCCCACUAAUAGGUGGGGCCCACCUGUCAGAGCUUCCUCCUACCUCACACUGUCCCUAGCUAGAAUGGCACAACGCUGCUCGCCCCAGCCUAUCCCACUACCCUGUGCCCGAUUCCUCCGUGAAGUGGAGUGAUUCCCAUGCCAAGUUGCCCUAUAAAGGCUACCGCCACCACUGCACCCUUCCCUUCCCCUCCUAGCAUCAUCAUUCGAGCUUGUAGCACCACCAAAACCCUAAUUGUGCCCCAAGCUUGGAGCUCACGACUUCACCAUCUCUGGCCAUCUUCACCUUCCUUCUUCUCUGGUGGUGAGAUCCUCAUCCUCCCCACUCUCUCCGUGUCUUCUAGGGUCGUGUCCAUGCACACUGCUGAGCCUCCUCCGCUGACGGCCAUGUGCCUAC